Molecule: non-coding RNA, 6883 nt
Organism: Cricetulus griseus (Chinese hamster)
Lineage: Eukaryota; Metazoa; Chordata; Mammalia; Rodentia; Cricetidae
Source: RefSeq, a predicted model, not a curated record
UGGAUCCCUAACACUCACCUCCAUAACUAGACCAGGACUACUCUCUACCUCCUAUCAGCCCUUAUUACUGGCAAUGAUCUCUUGGGAGUUUCGUACAGUCACCCUUGUUCAUUCUUUCUGCACCCAAAGAACUACUACUCUUGUGAAAUGGACAUGAAGAAUUAAUCAGGCUGUUUAUAUGGUGGAUUACAUUGAUGGAUUUUCAUAUGGUGAACCAUCCUUGCAUCCCUGGGAUGAAGCCUACUUGAUGAUGGUGGAUGAUUUCCCUGACGUCCAAACUUAGUUUUUAUACAAAAGCCACAAGUGCUCUUCACCACUGGGCCAUUUGCAGUCCCUGAGGUCAUGGAAAUAGCUGCCUACCACUGGGGAGACCACAAACAGGCUAACACUGGCUCAGAUCUCCAAAUGAGAACCAAAAAGCAAGUUGAACUGUGAACCUAACAUAGGAGUAAGAAUGCACUUUGCUCUACGUGCUAGUUUGUUUGAAGCAUAUAAGAAGAAUCAAACAAAACCAGAGACAGACAAAGAAGGGGAAAUAUAGGUUCCCAGAGGAAAGGAAACAACUGAAGCAAGCGUAAAUUUGCUAAUGUUUCACACCCAGGAGCUAAAGUAAAUGGAAGUCCAGACUGGAUCACACCAGUCCUCAGAUGGACCAAGUAACAGGAUAUGAACAUGUGCGGUGUACCUGAAGAUCCAUGUGUUAGUUACAAACAUCAUGGCAAUGCUUUGCAUCUCUGCAGAACAGGUUUCACCUGUGAGCUCCUUCCUCCAAUAUAAGCCAGCCCUGAACAUCUGCUACAAAUGUGCACAUUUGCUAGCUCCUAGGAGAAUUGAGGUGAAGGCUAAACUAGGGAAAUUGCCUUGGUCUUUGUAAGUUUUACCCUUAGAUCCUAUGAAAGAAGAAAAGGCACGUGUAGAGUAAGGAAGAGAGAGAGAUUCUUUUUUGAUAAAAAGACAGAAAUAGCCUAAACUAAUUAUAUUAACCUAAAAACAUAAGUGAAAAUUAACAAGAAAUAAAAACUCUGAACUCUGCAAAUGGCCUCUCAUCUGUGCUAUUGAAACCCUACACCCUGGAGAGGAACAAGCUCAGGCCAGGAGCUAACCCGCCAAAGUGAAAUUCUAGAAAUAGAGAACGCUUCAGGCGUCUUGAAUGCAGCUAAGUCUUGCAGAAUUUUCCCAAACUUCUGGAUUCGGUAAAAGAUGAUUCAGAUUUUGCCUCGAGCCAUUACUUUUGGAAAACCAUAUGUAUUUUUGAACAAAUUCAAUUUGGAUGUUUCUUAUUUUCUUGCCCUUUAACUCAUUAAAAUGUUAUUAUGUGGGAGUCAUUUGUUUGGGAAGCAAUCUGAGUCUUUUGGAAAAUCUUUGAAAGCCUUUGUUGUUGGGAUCUGAAGCAAAUUUCUGCUUAUUCUUGAGUCUAUACAUUCAAAGCGAACUGGAAAAUUAUGGAAAUGAUCUGAACCAAAGGCAUAGACCCCAGGCUAUCAUACCUUUCUUGCAUGGCUACAGGACCCUCACAUCCAGAAGAAACUCAUACUUGAAAUGUUUUUGCACUACUGAAAUUCUUAACAAUUGAUCUCUGUAAGUAAUAUCAAAGGGUUGCUGGGAAAUUGAUGAACCGAAAGUAAUCAAGAAUGUGAGCAUAUGCUGUUGGGAGCGAUUUCCAGGGGUUCCAGGAACCAGGCGCUCCCUCCAGUCUGUAUUGAAUGGAUGCUAACUGAUUUGCAAUUGAAUGAGGGGUUAGGUGUGUGUAAGUAACAAGUGAAGACAGGAGUUAGGGGCGAGCUACCAGAGAGGAUAGAGAGGGAAAGGAGUGAUCUCUUGGCGGCCAUGGAAGGAUGGUUAAGAAACAGUCGAAAAGAUGGUAAAUAAAGAAAAGACUCUAGUUUUACAGCAUGGAACUGAGAGCUCUCUAAACAUGAUUAGAUGCCUGUGUUUGGUCUUUAUUGUCGUUGGGUUGCUAGGAGUUUCCAGGUCCACACACCCCCACUCAGGCCGAACUUCAUGGGUUAAGGCUGAGACAUCCCGGGUCAGGACAAUAUGUAUCUACAGCACUGCUGUGCCAUUUGAAGUGAGCAUAGACCUCCAGUGGGCCUGCCUGUGGAAGUUCAGUGAGAUUCAAGAAGCAGAGGUGAGUAAACUCGGAAGGAGGGGGAAGCUGAUGAGAGUGCCAAUAGCGGAGAAAAGGCCACAGUUUGCAUUUGCACAAAAGUUUACUUUGAAUGCAGAAAGAUGGCUGGGGCAUUCUGAGGAAUAGAAACCAAGAAAGAUGAUCAUUUCCUUUCUUAUUUGUGCAUUAGCCAUCUCCUUGCACUCAAUAAAAAGGAUAGUGAAUAUAGGGCAAGUCAUAGUUGUUGUCCUUUCAGGAACUCUUAACUCAUCAGUAAGUCAAUGGUAGAGAAAUUUGUUAGAAUAUGUGCACAAGAAGUGAAAUAGCUGUUGAUUAUUUUUUGUGCAUCAACUCCAGUCUUUCAGAUAAUAAUAGAGUACAUACACACAACCAUAUAUUGCUUAAAGAAAGGGAUAUAUUCUGAGAGGCAUAUCACUAGAUGAUUGUGUCUAUUCGACAUCACCACAUAGUUUUGUGCCAACAUACCAAAGAUCAAUCCUUAGAGAUGGAAAGGCAUAAGACAGUGUCAAUCCUUAGAGACGGUUCUUGGUGCAGCCAAGAAAGAGAUUAAAUAUAAGCAGAGAACUGCCAAAGGCAUAAGACAGUGUGAUGUUUUACAAUGAAUUUGUUUUUAUAUGUAUAAAGCUGAGUACAUGCUAAAAUAAUGGUGAAAAUGCAGUAAAUAUGUUAAACUUAUAUAACCACCUACUGGCAUUAUCCAGUAUUGUGUACAGAGUAUAAUUAUGCAUGCUGUGCUUUUAUAGAACCAGAAAUAUCAAAAGUUGAUUUAUAAGAGCAUAAACACAUGCGCGUGAUAAUGUGAUGGUGACAUAAUGAUGGUUAUGAUGUCACAGAUAGGAAAAUUUUAGCUUCAUCACAAUUUUAUGGUUCAGACAUUAAAUGUGCAGCCUACUGCCAACUAACACAUCAUAGGUGUCUCUGACUAUGUACAAGCUAUGAGAAAUGAGUUGUGUAAUUUCAGUGACCUGCCUCAAAGAAGUUAAAUACUCUUCAAAAUUAACAUUGCACAAUCUAUGCUAAAUGAUAAAAUUAUUGUUGAUAAUUUGUUACAUUAAUUGUUUUAGAUUUAGAAUAGUGAAUAGUAAAUUUAAAGUACCAUGACUAACAAAAACAAAGACAGGAUUUUCUCUCAAUGUCUUCUCUAAUGGUAUCCUGCCCCUGCUUGUUGAGCAAGAAGUCCAGUCUUUCACUUCUCUCUGGGCCUCACCAAUGAGUUAGUUUUUGCCUAGGAACUUGUCUGAAAUGCAGUCAUGGGCACAUGUGGAAGCCUGAGAACCAUGGGUCUGAAUCAUUCCAGCUGAAGAAUCCCUAAUGAGUCUAGCCCUUCAGAAGCCUUAAUUCUAGGACUCUUGUCUUUUAUCUGCUCUAAAACAGUACUAAGAGGCUGUAAGAAGCAUCACAGCCUUCAGAUUAGGUCUCCACGUGUCUACCGCCUCAUGCCGGGUUGUGUCUUUUGGGCCACAUAUCUGUGUGGCAACUCCAGGCAGGAACAAGACUCUAAUCUUCCAUUUCCAUGGCCUUGAAAUGGGGUUGUUAAUGCUGGUCUCACACAGGGGAUGGGAAACUUAAAUGAGCUAGUAUACAAUGUUUAGCAUAGCACAUGGAAUGUUAUAAACACCCACAGAAAGGAGCCAUAAGUACUAUCCUUUCUGUCAGUACUCAUUAGAUUAGCUUCUUCCUAGACAAAUCCCCAAGGUGCUGUCUAUGCUUCGUUCUCUCUGGAUGUUCCCUCUGUCUUUAGUAAGACAAAACAACAAGAAGUGUUGAACCCCAUCACUAGCAGUGGGAACAGGAUGAAAAAAUGAAUAGGCUGAUUAUACUCUUGAUUAGGCAUUUUCUUAUCUGAAAGUGCCGUAUUCUGCCUUCUCAAAUGACUUUUUUUAUAACCCUAAAGCACAGAAAGAUGUACCCUCUCAUUUGACUGAUUGUGGUAUGGCAGGGACUGAUUGUGGUAUAGCACGUAGAAAUUUCAUGACCAUAAAGAGUCUGGGCUUCUAGCUGGACCUACCAAGGGCCUGGUUGUCGCUUGAUAGCUGACUGUUUGCAGAGACUGACUGGCUGGUUCAAAUACAAAGACUUUAUUUGCAAGUUUGUGGGAAGAUCUAAGCAAGGAAGGUGUAUCCAGCCUCAGGGGCCCACUGUGAAUAUGCUCUGUCGUUACUGUGAUGACCAUGAACCCAAGUCCGGACCAGCAUCUUACUCUCAAACUCUUAGGGAAAUAAUUUCGUAAAUACUUAACUUCCUCACCUCUACUAAUGUGAAGGUAAUUUCUCCUGCCCACCCCUCAUCUGAGCCCAAAGAAUCUCAUAAAGCUCUUUAUAAGCAAAGUAAGCUUUGGAAAAACAGGCAAUUUUGUUGGUAAUACUAUCUUCAAAACAAAGGCACUGAAAAGCCCUACAACCUGGGGAAGGAUAUGUUGUUAAUGAACCUCUUUGCCUGACAUGUUGUAGGAGCCAAGCUGUAUAUUUGUAUGUGUGCUCAUUUCAACAGUAGAAAAUGUGUGUAAGCACCAACUUAAAAUGUCUAUAAAAAGGUUCACUGAGCUCUGGAAGGAGUGCCCCAAAGCUGUUAUACAGUGUCAGAUCUCACAUUCAAACCCAGGGCUGCCAGGGUUUCCUCCACAUGGACUGUGGCACAUCUAUCAUGGGCUUACCUCUCAGAUGGGCUCCUAGAAAGUGUCACCCAUCUUCUACUGUGUCCAUGCCUUGAUUCUAACAUGGUUCCUACAGUCCCUGAGGAUUAAGUCUUGCCUUAAGAAAGCUUUGCAUUGCAACAGCCAUUCUCAAAUUUUAAUGUGCCUGGAUGCCCCUAGAAAUCCUCAUACAGUAAAGAUUGUGAUUUGGUAGGUAUGUGUGGGCUAGAAAUUCUAAUAAGUUCCCAAGGGAUGCUGGUACUGUGGGCUCUCCACCUAAGAUGCUGAAACAGCAAGACUUGACUCUAGGCAGCAUGGUGAGUUUGUAGACCCCACAGACAAGAGUGUUGCCUUUAAGGUAACCAUGGAGCAAGAUAAAAUCAGAGGAUGGAUGAUGGUUGUCACCUGUGACCAGACAGGGAGUGUUGAGAGAGGCAUUAGAUGUGCCAGCUUGGGCUCACAGUCUUCCAAGAACAAAGACUUAAUUUCUAGGCAGAUUUCUGUAGGCUGAAGAUGAGAGACAUUUCAGGUAAGGCUAUUUCUGAGCAGUGUUUUACCUGGAAAAAUAUACCAGCAACUAGAACUCUGUGAGACAUCUUUAAUGAUGCCAUGGCUGAUGGGCAACUUCCCCCACACUCAGCACCUGGCCCCAUCCUGCCUAUCCAAGGCCAGAUCUCCAUGUAACAACAGAAAUAGCUUAUUUUAAGGUCCUACAAAUGAAUGAGUGAAUGUCCCAUCUUUCUUGCUCUUAGCUCUCACUGUCUACUGGCUCUCCUGAUACAUUUGGCCAUUAAAGAAAUCUCCACAUGGUUGAGUGUCACAGUAAAUGUCCAAGGAGUAUUGGAGGACAGGGAAAUGACCCACAACCCUCUUAUGUAAGAAGCCCUCUGUAUAAGAAGAGAAAGUAGUGUGGAAAACUGGUACUGUUUUAACAGUAGCCAUCUUCCCAUCUGGAUUCAUCACAAAGUCUUCCCUACAAGACACAAAAACUUAAAAGAUUAAUCAACACCCACUGAAAAGUUAGUCUAGAGUCUCAGAAAUGGCAGAUAAGUUCCCAAGGUCUAUAAUAGAGCAGGCUGUCUGGAGUUAACAUCUCUGUGGAUGUCCAGAAACUCACUUAAGAGCUAAAUCUGAGGCCACAUGCCUGCAACCCUAGCUUCCAGGAGGCUGAGACAGGAUCUACAUGUUUGAUGCUAGCAUGUAGAUGGCAUAGUAAAACCACCUGCUUCAAAAACAUUGCAUUUUGUUAAGAGGGUGAAUUUCAAGUUGUGCUCUUACCAUAAAAAUGGGGGUUCGGGGUAAGGAGGAACCCUUAGAAGUGACAGAUAUUUACUGUCUUGUUAAUGGUGAUGGUUCAAUGAGUAUGAGCAUUUGUUAGAAUCUAUGAGAUUCUGUAUAUUAAAUAUGUGCGCUCUUACAGAACAAUUAUACUUCAAUGAAGCUGUGAAAACAAAAUACAGGGGAAUAUAUAAGCAUACUGUGUAUAUAUGUGCACAAAAAGCUCAGAGAGAAGUAAUGUUUCAAAAAGAAAGCUUAUGGAAAUAUAGCUCUUGGCAAACCUGCAAAGACCAUGCAAGGAUGAAGCACUGCUAUUCUGUUGAAGAGAUGUAGUAUCCAGGUGCCCAAGCUAUCAGGAUAUUAGAGCAUCACAGUGAACUUCUAAAAAACCAACUACACAAAUAAGCAAGUAAGUGUGGACUCCAGUAACAGAAAACUGAGUAACAUUUGACAUGAAGCUAGCAGACCAUCUGAAACAUCAAAAUCUAUUACUCUGAUGUUCCAAUAGAUUCUGGAUCCUCAGGUCCAGGAUAUUAUCUCAUUCCCUCCCCCAUUCUCCCUUCCUUCUGCACCCCUCCCUCCAUACCUCACCCCUCCCUCCUCUCCAUAUAAAAAUAUUCAACAUUCAUUUCUUGAUUGUAAACUCUGCCACUUCUCUGCUGUAGUCCUACCUAGGACCUGGUUUAUGGAAGGUGCACAUGGUGUGCCAUGACUUACAUGAGUCCUUCUACCAGCCAUGGUCUCCACUUAACCCAGAAAAACUAGCAUGAGCCUCUGCCUGAGUAAUAUUCAUCAAGGGAAUACAACUGGAGAUAAAGAAGAAACUGACUACUUACUUUGUGAAU